GCUUCAGACUCCACCAUCUCCAUCGACUGCGCACAUUCAAUUUAAAGAAUUCCAGGAGGUGCAGGGGUGACGUUCUCCUCCUUGAAGACGGCAAUACAUUAAACAACAGAUUCUGCGGCAACCUUGGAACUCUCAGUGAAGGAGGCGACACUGACCUUUUGAAUAUUGUUUUCAAGACAAACAGAAGAGGAAAAGCUCAAGGUUUCUCCUGUGUUGUGUCCCCUCUGGCAAGGUUCAGACCAUCACCCAAGUCACUACUGACGUCACUGACAUCUCCGUCGACAACGGUCAAUGCUCCAAGUGUGGCACAGUGAACCGCGUCACCCGCAUUGUGGGAGGAGUGGCGACGGAGGUGAAUGAGUACCCCUGGCAAGCGGCACUCGUUGUAAAGGGAACCAACCAGGUUUUCUGUGGUGCUUCUCUCUAUAAUGAUGGUUACGUUGUUACGGCUGCUCAUUGUGGAAGCAAUAACUGAUUAUGGGAUAGAUGUGGAGGUUCUCCUAGGGGCACAUGAACUGACCAGCUCCACCAGUGCCCAGCAGCGUAUUUCUGUAGAAAGGAUCAUUAACCAUGAAAGCUAUGACAGCAGUACACAAGAUAACGACAUCGCUGUACUAAAGCUUGCCACAAAAGCUUCUUUGAAUGAAAAUGUUAAACCCGCUUGUCUUCCCAGCGUCAGUGAAGAUUAUACCGGCUUCACCGCCACUGUUUCUGGAUGGGGAACGUUGAGUUCAGGCGGUAGUCAACCCGAUGUCUUACAAGAGGUUCAGGUUCCAGUGGUCAGUAACAGCGAGUGCCAGCAGUCGUAUGGUAACAGCAUCAGUGACAUGCUUUGUGCUGGUUACGAUGCUGGUGGGAAGGACUCUUGUCAGGUCAGUGUUCACGUACUCUGGAACAAAUACAAGGAAUCUCUGUAUGAAAUAAAUGUAUUUUUUUUCAGGACGAUACAUAAAUCAUAUUAAAAUGUUGGCAGGGUGAUUCUGGAGGUUUGGCUGUAAGGAGAAUGGCAAGUGGGUGUUGGCAGGUGUGGUGUCAUGGGGCUAUGGGUGUGCUAUGCCCAACUACCCAGGAGUCUACGUUCGGGUCACUAAGUAUUUGGACUGGCUGAAGGCUAAGACGAGUGAAGGAAGCAACGACUUGUGUUUUUCUGGUCAAGGGUCAGGCUCAACCACUAAGACUCCAGCAGCAACUACCGUCCCUUCAGCUACAAGCUGCAGUAUGUAUAACGUAAUCUGUUGUUGUCUCUUUGUG
Molecule: long non-coding RNA, 1251 nt
Filed under: Homarus americanus (American lobster)
Lineage: Eukaryota; Metazoa; Arthropoda; Malacostraca; Decapoda; Nephropidae
Description: uncharacterized LOC121863163
Source: RNAcentral